ACGGAGGAUCCAAGCGUUAUCCGGAAUCAUUGGGUUUAAAGGGUCCGUAGGCGGCUUUAUAAGUCAGUGGUGAAAUCCCUUCGCUCAACGAAGGAACUGCCAUUGAUACUGUAAGGCUUGAAUUUUUGUGAAGUAACUAGAAUAUGUAGUGUAGCGGUGAAAUGCUUAGAGAUUACAUGGAAUACCAAUUGCGAAGGCAGGUUACUAACAAACAAUUGACGCUGAUGGACGAAAGCGUGGGUAGCGAACAGG
RNAcentral lists this ribosomal RNA (252 nucleotides) under uncultured bacterium. Its description in RNAcentral is "partial 16S ribosomal RNA". It matches the Rfam family "Bacterial small subunit ribosomal RNA", at positions 525 to 776 of the family's 1533-position model. The record is from RNAcentral.